This 253-nucleotide ribosomal RNA is filed under the name uncultured Ruminococcus sp. Its description in RNAcentral is "partial 16S ribosomal RNA". It matches the Rfam family "Bacterial small subunit ribosomal RNA", at positions 524 to 776 of the family's 1533-position model. The record is from RNAcentral. Lineage: Bacteria; Bacillati; Bacillota; Clostridia; Eubacteriales; Oscillospiraceae.
UACGUAGGGGGCAAGCGUUAUCCGGAUUUACUGGGUGUAAAGGGAGCGUAGACGGUGAUGCAAGUCAGAAGUGAAAUCCAUGGGCUUAACCCGUGAACUGCUUUUGAAACUGUAGGGCUUGAGUGAAGUAGAGGCAGGCGGAAUUCCCGGUGUAGCGGUGAAAUGCGUAGAGAUCGGGAGGAACACCAGUGGCGAAGGCGGCUCUCUGGUCUGCAACUGACGCUGAGGCUCGAAAGCAUGGGUAGCGAACAGG